Molecule: long non-coding RNA, 442 nt
Organism: Hippoglossus stenolepis (Pacific halibut)
Lineage: Eukaryota; Metazoa; Chordata; Actinopteri; Pleuronectiformes; Pleuronectidae
Exons: 2
Source: RefSeq, a predicted model, not a curated record
GCUUGGCCUAUACUGGAUGAAAGGAUAUGAUGUUACCAAGAACAUCAAGAUUCAUCAGCAUCUGCAGAUCAUUCAUAUCCAUUGAUGGGACUCAUGGAUUUAUGGAUUUGAACUCAGCCACUCCCCCCUGCUCUGCAUCACGUCUUCCCACGGAUACCAAUUACCUGGCCUGCCCCACCCCCAGACUCACCUGCUUUCCAUCAGUCAAUCAGUCACUCAGUAUAUAUACCAGCCCAUUUCCUGUGUUCUUUGCCAGAUUGUCUAGUGUGUUUUCCUACCUUUCCAGGGUUGUUUCGUGUUUCUCUGCUCUGCCUGAUUCCUGUUCUGAACUGCCUUCUUGGACCCUGGAUUCCCUUUUUGCUCCCUAUUGGAUUUGUUUGCCCUCGUUGACUUUCUGCCUGGUUUUGACCCCUGCUCGUUCAUUAAACCUGAACUCUUGCUA